Long non-coding RNA from Solanum tuberosum (potato), 889 nucleotides. RefSeq lists it as uncharacterized. The record is from RefSeq and is a predicted model, not a curated record. The transcript is spliced from 3 exons. NCBI's taxonomy places the organism in Eukaryota, Viridiplantae, Streptophyta, Magnoliopsida, Solanales, Solanaceae.
UGGUUCAAAUAGAGUAUGAUUUAAGCCUAGUAAUAUGAAUGGAUAACUUAGGCACCAUGUUUGCUUGAUAAUAAAUUCCAUGUAUAACAACCCUCACAAUAGAAUCUUCAGAUCUCCUUUCUUGCGGAAAGAUCCUAUUAUAUCUUUCACGCCAAAAAGAAUACACAGAAGCUCCCAUUGCAAUCAUGUAAACAUUAGCACCUCGACUCUAAUUCAAGGGCGUUAGAGCUAUCCAUGGAACUCAACUUCUAAUUCAAGGGCUUUAGAGCUAUCCAUGGAACUCAAGUCCUAAUUCAAGGGCUUGUGGUUUCAUCUACUGAGCUAUACCUUAAGAUUAGGCUUAAGUAUACUAAUCUAGAUUGGUAAAUUGUAAUUUAACUAUGCUAUGACACUGUAAUGAACUUACUCGUGAGUAAUAAAGACAUUUAGUUGCUGAAAAAAAAAAGGCGAGAGAUGUAUUUUAUCGAUAGGUUAGAUUAAAAUUACUACAAUAUCAAACAUUUAUCAAGAUAUUUGCUUUUUAUUGGCUUAUGUAACCUUACUGUGUUGAAUAACUUAAAAUAAUAUAGGGAUGAAAACAGCGAGCUAGAGAAGGCACGAGGCAUUAAGAAGGCGAUGGGCUUUGUUCAUGUAUCUGGAUAAUACUUGAUGAAAUUUAAACUACUUUUGGGGGUUGAAGUUCAAGACAAGAUGCAAGAUUAGAAGAUGCACAACCUCAUUAUUUUGCUACGGAUGUCAUGCAAAACUUGAUAUCAUAGUCUAGCUCUGAAGGUUAUCUAACUAUUUUUUUAAGAAAAUGUUGAAACCAAAAUCAAUGGAUGUAAACUGAUUUUUUGAGAUUAAUUAGAUUUCUAUCUUUCUGGAUACAUAUAUCGAGUUUUUGUAUUGG